UGAUAAACUUAAAGGGAGUGAAGAAAAAGCUAAAGAAAUUGAAAAAGAAGCUUAAAAGCUCGGUUUGCAUACAGUGAGCUCUGUACUAGUUCACCUUCAUCGUUGCCUGGGACAGAACUUUUCGAGGUUCUCGUCGGUUCUGUUCAAAAGUGAAGGAGUUCUGCGCCAGCCAUAGUUCCCAAAGGAGGUUUGUGUCUCUUAAGAUGUCACUGGCAAAUUGGGACUUGUUCUAAACCACCAUGGAGUCUGGGCAGAAAACCACCGCGUGCAAUGCAGUUUCUGACUUUGUCAAGCAUCUUGGGCAAAGGGGAUCAAUGUUGAGGAUUCUGUUAUGUAUCUUCUCCAGCACUGCUAUACCCUCAUGGACUAACCUCCAUAUGAAGUUUAGGAUUUUUGGCUGACACUGUAUAUUUCAGAUUUGUUGCCAUAAGUCUUUCAUCUGAAAUCGGGGGUUUAAACUCGCUAUCGGCGGAUGAUAGAACUGUAUUUGUUAUCAGCUGUCGGACCCAAUGCAUCUCAAGAUUUUGUUCCACUGUUGUUGGAAACCUGAAAGGGGGUUGGUCUCCGAACCAUGGGUCCUCUCUUAUUCUGGUGGAGCCAUGGGUAGUGAUACUGAAUCUAACGCCUUUCUUCAGGACCUUUCUGCCCUCCAAGAGUCUCCGCUAAACCCAAAAAGGUCUGAAUCCAGGCUUUGCUUCCAAGAACAAGGUAUAUUUAUUUUUGUAGAUUUUACAUACCAGUGAAUGUGUUUUGUUAGAAGUCUCCAUCCCUGUUUAGCUAGCAUCGAUAGGUUGAAAGCUUUGAGAUCUUUAAAACCCAAACCUCCUGAAUGUUUGUCUCUGUUGAUUGAGUCCCAACUUAUCCAACGUAUUUUCUCUCAUUCUGUUUUUAUCUCCAUCAAAACUGUAUCAUCAUUUUAUGAAUUUCAUCUAAAAGAGUAUUUGUAAGCUUAAAACAGCUAAGCGAGUAAAUCGGUAUCGCUGUGCCAAUCGCCUUUAUCAAAACCUCUAUUUGGCUUGCCGAAAGCAUCGUUCUUUUCAACCUUAUCUUUAACAAAUGAGAAGGUUUCUCUUUUGGUUCUAUUGACAACUGAUGGAAGGCCCAAAUAAUGAUCUUGAGCACCAAUAUUAGGAACCCCAAUCAAAGUAGCUAGUUCUGUCUGGGUUGUUUGAGGCGUAUUCUUGCUGAAAAAAAAUGGCUGACUUGUUUAAAUUAACGAGCUAGCCACUCAACUUGCUAUAUUGCUGUAGGAUACCUAGGAUCUUGUCACAUGAUUGCCUUUUAGCUCUUCCAAAAAAUAUAGAAUCGUCUGCGAAUAAUAGGUGGUUAAUGGAGGGGCAUCUACUAUUUAACCGGAGUCUCUGCAGUAAGUUAUUCUGUUCUCCUUUGUGGAGUAGAAAGGACAAUCCCUCUGCACAAAUAAAAAAAAGAUAGGGAGAGAGAGGAUCUCCUUGACGGAGCCCUCUGCUUGGCCUAAAGAAGCCAGUAGGAAUUCCUUCCACAACAACAGAUUAAGAGAUUGUAGACACACACUCUUUAAUCUACCCAAUCUACUUAUCACAGAAAUCUAAUUUCGCCAUCAUAAACCAAAGAAAACUCCAUUCAACCCUAUCAUAGGCCUUACUCAUGUCAAUUUUAAGUGCCAUAUCAUGAUUACUAUAGUCCUUAUUCUUCAAAAAACACAUAAUAUUCAUGAGCCACUAAAAUAUUAUCACUAAUGAGUCUUCCUCGGAUAAAAGCACUUUGAUUGUCACUAAUAAUUUUAUUCAUAAAAGGUUGCAGUCUAUGAACAAGUACGUUAGAGAUGAUUUUGUAGAACAUAGUGCCGAGGCUGUCAUCUGAAUUUGAUUAAUUGCAGUUGCAUUUUGUAUCUUUGGAAUGAGACAAAUUUGAGUGUGAUUGAACCCCUAAGCAUGCGUCCUCCUCCAAAAAAGCUUCUAACAGCUUUGCAUACAUCCUACUUGAUAGUAUUCCAAUAAAAUUGGAAGAUUUGGAUAUAAAGCCAUCAUCACCUGGGGCUGCUUCUGGAAUAAUAGAAUAGACGGCCCUUUUGCUCUCUUCUUUGGUAGUUGGCCUUGUUAGUCAUCUAUUUAUUUCCGCAUAAAUCUUUCUUCUAAGUUGAUAUUUUUUAAAGUAAGAUUUUGAAUAUUAGUCUUGGUUUAUAAAGUAAGUUGAACAAAUUUUAUGUUGUGAUUAUAGUCCUAUUUAUAAAGAUCCACUAUAAUAAUGAUGUCUUUAAUAUACGUUUAUUGAUUACAAAUUAUAAGGGGAGAUGGAUUGAAUUUACGAGGCGCAUAUAAGAAUUCGUUUCAACCUUAUUAUCCAUGCAAUAAAAGGAAAAAAGGAUGGUGAAUUUCGGACAG
Arachis ipaensis is the source of this 2363-nucleotide non-coding RNA. The record is from RefSeq and is a predicted model, not a curated record. Lineage: Eukaryota; Viridiplantae; Streptophyta; Magnoliopsida; Fabales; Fabaceae.